Molecule: ribosomal RNA, 281 nt
Filed under: [Lactobacillus] rogosae
Lineage: Bacteria; Bacillati; Bacillota; Clostridia; Lachnospirales; Lachnospiraceae
Description: Lactobacillus rogosae partial 16S ribosomal RNA
Rfam family: Bacterial small subunit ribosomal RNA
Source: RNAcentral
UAUGGUUGUGUGCCAGCAGCCGCGGUAAUACGUAUGGAGCAAGCGUUAUCCGGAUUUACUGGGUGUAAAGGGAGUGUAGGUGGCCAGGCAAGUCAGAAGUGAAAGCCCGGGGCUCAACCCCGGGACUGCUUUUGAAACUGCAGGGCUAGAGUGCAGGAGGGGCAAGUGGAAUUCCUAGUGUAGCGGUGAAAUGCGUAGAUAUUAGGAGGAACACCAGUGGCGAAGGCGGCUUGCUGGACUGUAACUGACACUGAGGCUCGAAAGCGUGGGGAGCAAACAGG